UGCAAUCUAAAUGUAUGGUAUGGAAUGG
This 28-nucleotide small RNA is filed under the name Bombyx mori (domestic silkworm). RNAcentral's name for it is "ovarian small RNA-33402". Lineage: Eukaryota; Metazoa; Arthropoda; Insecta; Lepidoptera; Bombycidae. The record is from RNAcentral.